UACGAAGGGGGGCUAGCGUUGCUCGGAAUCACUGGGCGUAAAGGGUGCGUAGGCGGGUUUUUAAGUCAGGGGUGAAAUCCUGGAGCUCAACUCCAGAACUGCCUUUGAUACUGAAGAUCUUGAGUCCGGGAGAGGUGAGUGGAACUGCGAGUGUAGAGGUGAAAUUCGUAGAUAUUCGCAAGAACACCAGUGGCGAAGGCGGCUCACUGGCCCGAUACUGACGCUGAGGCACGAAAGCGUGGGGAGCAAACAGGG
Molecule: ribosomal RNA, 255 nt
Filed under: uncultured bacterium
Lineage: Bacteria
Description: partial 16S ribosomal RNA
Rfam family: Bacterial small subunit ribosomal RNA
Source: RNAcentral